Schistosoma rodhaini is the source of this 46-nucleotide non-coding RNA. NCBI's taxonomy places the organism in Eukaryota, Metazoa, Platyhelminthes, Trematoda, Strigeidida, Schistosomatidae. The record is from Rfam.
GCACUUCUGAGGAGUCUCACCAUAAGAUGAAACGACCGUCCAGUGC